RNAcentral lists this ribosomal RNA (1895 nucleotides) under human oral metagenome. RNAcentral describes it as "bacterial LSU rRNA". It matches the Rfam family "Bacterial large subunit ribosomal RNA", at positions 596 to 2527 of the family's 2925-position model. The record is from RNAcentral.
AGAGCGUGCCUUUUGUAGAAUGAACCGGCGAGUUACGUUAUGAUGCGAGGUUAAGUUGAAGAGACGGAGCCGUAGGGAAACCGAGUCUGAAUAGGGCGACUUAGUAUCAUGAUGUAGACCCGAAACCUAGUGACCUAUCCAUGAGCAGGGUGAAGGUGUGGUAAGACGCACUGGAGGCCCGAACCAGGACACGUUGAAAAGUGUUUGGAUGACUUGUGGAUAGCGGAGAAAUUCCAAACGAACUGGGAGAUAGCUGGUUCUCUCCGAAAUAGCUUUAGGGCUAGCGUCGAAAUGUAAGUGUAUUGGAGGUAGAGCACUGUUUGGGUGAGGGGUCCGUCUAGGAUUACCAAUCUCAGAUAAACUCCGAAUGCUAAUACACAUGUUCGGCAGUCAGACUGCGAGUGCUAAGAUCCGUAGUCGAAAGGGAAACAGCCCAGACCAACAGCUAAGGUCCCAAAAUAUAUGUUAAGUGGAAAAGGAUGUGGGGUUGCACAGACAACUAGGAUGUUAGCUCAGAAGCAGCUAUCAUUCAAAGAGUGCGUAAUAGCUCACUAGUCGAGUGACCCUGCGCCGAAAAUGUACCGGGGCUAAACAUAUUACCGAAGCUUUGGAUUGAUAUUUUAUCAAUGGUAGGAGAGCGUUCUUAACCGCGAUGAAGGUAUACCGUGAGGAGUGCUGGAGCGUUAAGAAGUGAGAAUGCCGGUAUGAGUAGCGCAAGAUAAGUGAGAAUCUUAUCCACCGUAAGACUAAGGUUUCCAGGGGAAGGCUCGUCCGCCCUGGGUUAGUCGGGACCUAAGGCGAGGCCGAAAGGCGUAGUCGAUGGACAACUGGUUGAUAUUCCAGUACUAGAUAUGAUCGUGAUGGAGGGACGCAGUAGGCUAAGAGAAGCCAGUUAAUGGAUUCUGGUCUAAGCAGUGAGGUGUGAGAUGUGUCAAAUGCAUUUCUCUUUAACAUUGAGCUGUGAUGGGGAAGCAACUACGGUUGCGAACUCUCUGAUGUCACACUGCCAAGAAAAGCUUCUAGCGUAAAGUCAUAUCUACCCGUACCGCAAACCGACACAGGUAGUCGAGGCGAGUAGCCUCAGGUGAUCGAGAGAACUCUCGUUAAGGAACUCGGCAAAAUAGCCCCGUAACUUCGGGAGAAGGGGUGCUGGUGUAAAAGCCAGCCGCAGUGAAUAGGCCCAAGCAACUGUUUAUCAAAAACACAGCUCUCUGCUAAACCGCAAGGUGAUGUAUAGGGGGUGACGCCUGCCCGGUGCUGGAAGGUUAAGAGGAGUGCUUAGACGUAAGUCGAAGGUAUGAAUUGAAGCCCCAGUAAACGGCGGCCGUAACUAUAACGGUCCUAAGGUAGCGAAAUUCCUUGUCGGGUAAGUUCCGACCCGCACGAAAGCAACGAGAGACUCGGUGAAAUUUUAGUACCUGUGAAGAUGCAGGUUACCCGCGACAGGACGGAAAGACCCCAUGGAGCUUUACUGUAGUUUGAUAUUGAGUACCUGUAAGUCAUGUACAGGAUAGGUAGGAGCCAUUGAAAUAGGGACGCUAGUUUCUAUUGAGGCGUUGUUGGGAUACUACCCUUGACUUAUGGUUACUCUAACCCGCUGGCAUAAUCGGCCAGGGAGACAGUGUCUGACGGACAGUUUGACUGGGGCGGUCGCCUCCUAAAGAGUAACGGAGGCGCUCAAAGGUUGGCUCAGAUUGGUUGGAAAUCAAUCGUAGAGUGUAAAGGUAAAAGCCAGCUUGACUGCGAGAGCUACAACUCGAGCAGGUAGGAAACUAGGACUUAGUGAUCCGGUGGUACCGCAUGGAAGGGCCAUCGCUCAACGGAUAAAAGCUACCCUGGGGAUAACAGGCUUAUCUCCCCCAAGAGUUCACAUCGACGGGGAGGUUUGGCACCUC